Strigops habroptila (Kakapo) is the source of this 1195-nucleotide long non-coding RNA. RefSeq lists it as uncharacterized. The transcript has 3 exons. Lineage: Eukaryota; Metazoa; Chordata; Aves; Psittaciformes; Psittacidae. The record is from RefSeq and is a predicted model, not a curated record.
UUGGGACUGGAUGAGCUUUAAGGUCCCUUCCAACCCAAACCAUUCUGGGAUUCUAUGAUUCUAUGCAAAGGCGAAGGGCCAGAAGUGAAAUGAGGGCAAGAACUUGGAAAAAAGCUGGGAGAAUGCAGAAUUAAAAUUUUGAACUGAAAAAGCCUGUAGCUAAGUCAAAGACCAUACUGCCAUACAGGAUAGUGAGGGACUGAACUCUUAACACUCACUUUGUUGUUGUUGUUGUUGUUAAAUGUGCUGAAAAAUUUUGAGUUUCCAAACAAGUACUCAGACCUGCAGAGCUCCGAUGAGAAAAGCAUCUCCCUGAGGUGCUCAAAGACAAAGUCACAUCCGAUUCUUUAUGAACUUGGGGUUUGUUAUUGAGGGGGGAAAACCAGAUAUUAAGAAGUGCUGGUCAGGAUGUGCUCCACAGGGGUAGUAAUGUUCACCUUCCUAGAAGAAACCUGUCUUUUUUGGCACAGUUGUGUGCUUGAGUUCUCCUUGGUCCAAGUGGGAUGAGUAUUGUGGUAAUACAUUAUAAUUAUUGUAAACAUUUAUAAUUAUUGUAAACUAACUGUCCUGCUUUACCCAGGCUCUCACAGUGAUUUCUCUGGCAGCCUCCUUCUCCAAGGGUAGAGGCUCAGAAAAAGCCAGGCAGCCCAUCCCCACCGCCCUGGUGUGUGAGACUCCUCAAAAAAAGCUGUGGAAUUUCCUUGCUGCACCAACCUCCCAGGCUGUUCUGGCAGCAGCUUCUCGUCUUUAUUUCUCCACUUAAAUCAGCCAACUCAAGAGAUGGCAGAACAGCUGUUUCACCGCUUUGCAAAGAGUUACGCUCUCCUCCUGCUUGACUGUCGCAGAUUCCACCACCAGGAGGCCCUCAUUAAAGUGCUUGUAGCUAGGCAAAGAAAACACAUGGACUGAGAAUGAGAUGGAGAAACCCAUUCCUACAGGAGUCAUCUGAAACUAAUACUUAUGCCUAUAAAUAGCGAAUUUUUUUUGAGCGCUGUGCAGGCAUCAAUUAAUUCUUGCAGGAAUCCUAAUAUCCAAACCAUCAGUUGUACUGUAAUUUUUGAGGAUAAGGGGGUGUCACAGGUGGUAUUCCUGCAUUGGUAUCACCAAGUGAUAACCAGGGAAGUUCAUGCCUUUGUCUUCUGGAUAGUAAGUUCUUUAAUUAUGUAAUGAAAAUAAUAAAAUAGGAUAAAGCACU